AGGAAAGAAAAAAAAAAUCUAUAUAAUCAUGCAGCAAGCAAACAGACAUAAAAACCAUAUACACACCUAAUAAGACGGGCAAGUUGCGAGAGACACAAUACAGAUUGAAUCCUCUACUUAAAAUUUUAGCUGACAUUUAAUUCAAUAUUAGCACAAGUAGCGCCAUGCAAACAAUGAUGACAAGCAAACAUCAAUAAAUCAUCAGCCAAUCUGAACAUUAAGACUAUUAGCCUUGAGAAGAUUA
RNAcentral lists this unclassified non-coding RNA (244 nucleotides) under Hevea brasiliensis (rubber tree). The record is from RNAcentral. Lineage: Eukaryota; Viridiplantae; Streptophyta; Magnoliopsida; Malpighiales; Euphorbiaceae.